RNAcentral lists this long non-coding RNA (366 nucleotides) under Sorghum bicolor (sorghum). RNAcentral describes it as "long non-coding RNA (SBIC_LNC010411)". Lineage: Eukaryota; Viridiplantae; Streptophyta; Magnoliopsida; Poales; Poaceae. The record is from RNAcentral.
AGGAUUCUUGGUAAUUCUCUAAUUAUGCUUCUAAUUGCUUUCUAAUUAUCUUUGUUCUUCAAUAUUAUGAAUAUGACUUUGUUCUACUUCAAUAUAUUGCUUAUGACUUUGCUCUACUUGCUUAUAUUCAAGAUUAUAUUGUUCUUAGUUUAUCAUAGUUAUGUACUUGGCUUAGUUAGAUUGGAUCUAUAUACAUGCUUAGGAUCGUAUAGCGUUUAUCCAUCGGAUCCAUGGGUAAAUGAUAGAUAUUGUGUAGGCGUGGUGCUUAUACCGUAUUUAUCUGCGAUUGUACGCAAUAUGCUAGAUCGUGGGGUGGUUCGUGAUAGUGACAGCUUCAUUGAUUCUUAUAUAGUCCCCCUCUCGUGU